GACGAACGCUGGCGGCAUGCCUAACACAUGCAAGUCGAACGGAGUUAUUAUUCAGAAGUUCUUCGGGAUGGAAGGAUAAGAACUUAGUGGCGGACGGGUGAGUAACGCGUGGGUAACCUGCCCUUUUGUGGGGAACAACUUCGAGAAAUCGGAGCUAAUACCGCAUAAUAAUAGAGGAUCGCAUGAUUCUUUAAGGAAAGAUGGCCUCUGAAGAUGCUAUCGCAAAAGGAUGGACCCGCGUCUGAUUAGCUAGUUGGAAGGGUAACGGCCUACCAAGGCAACGAUCAGUAGCCGGCCUGAGAGGGUGAACGGCCACAUUGGGACUGAGACACGGCCCAA
Molecule: ribosomal RNA, 339 nt
Filed under: uncultured bacterium
Lineage: Bacteria
Description: bacterial SSU rRNA
Rfam family: Bacterial small subunit ribosomal RNA
Source: RNAcentral